UGCCCCUGUCGUCUAGAGGCCUAGGACAUUUCCCUUUCACGGAGGAAACGGGGAUUCGAAUUCCCCCAGGGGUAA
Molecule: transfer RNA, 75 nt
Filed under: Boodleopsis sp. H.0758
Lineage: Eukaryota; Viridiplantae; Chlorophyta; Ulvophyceae; Bryopsidales; Halimedaceae
Description: tRNA-Glu
Rfam family: tRNA
About the family: Transfer RNA (tRNA) molecules are approximately 80 nucleotides in length. Their secondary structure includes four short double-helical elements and three loops (D, anti-codon, and T loops).
Source: RNAcentral